Molecule: ribosomal RNA, 396 nt
Filed under: uncultured bacterium
Lineage: Bacteria
Description: partial 16S ribosomal RNA
Rfam family: Bacterial small subunit ribosomal RNA
Source: RNAcentral
GGGCCCGCACAAGCGGUGGAGCAUGUGGUUUAAUUCGAUGCAACGCGAAGAACCUUACCAGGGUUUGACAUAGUACGAAGUUUUUUGAAAAAAACCACCUUCGGGAACGUACAUACAGGUGGUGCAUGGCUGUCGUCAGCUCGUGUCGUGAGAUGUUGGGUUAAGUCCCGCAACGAGCGUAACCCUUGUUUUUAGUUAUUUUUCUAGAAAGACUGCCGGUUAUAAGCCGGAGGAAGGCGGGGACGACGUCAAGUCAGCAUGCCCCUUACACCCUGGGCUACACACGUGCUACAUUGGGUAAGACAAUGAGUCGCGAGCCUGUGAAGGUCAGCAAAUCUAAAAACUUACUCUAAGUUCAGAUUGUAGGCUGUAACUCGCCUACAUGAAGUUGGAAUC